This 1267-nucleotide long non-coding RNA is filed under the name Salmo salar (Atlantic salmon). RNAcentral describes it as "lncRNA (ENSSSAG00000115395.1, ENSSSAG00020018958.1)". The record is from RNAcentral. Lineage: Eukaryota; Metazoa; Chordata; Actinopteri; Salmoniformes; Salmonidae.
CAGCAUACCCGGAAGCUACAGAGACGGAGAGAGAGGAACAAAACAUUUUCUUUUCAUGCCUUGUGAUGGACACAGAACCUGAAGGCCUGGAGCUCCAGAUACCACCUGGUCACGCGAGAAUUCCGGUCCUUCAUGAUCCAGAGGUCCUGAGCCCUAGGACCGUGCCUCAGGACUACCUGGCCUGAUGACUCAUUGCUGUCCCCAGUCCACCUGGUCAUGCUGCUGCUCCAGUUUCAACUGUUCUGCCUGCGGCUAUGGAACCUUGACCUGUUCACUGGACGUGCUACCUUGUCCCGGACCUGCUGUUUUGGACUCUCUCUAUCGCACCUGCUCUCUCUAACUCUGAAUGAUCGGCUAUGAAAAGACAACUGACAAUUACUCAUGAGGUUCCGACCUGUUGCACCCUCUUCGACCACUGUGAUUAUUAUUAUCUGACCUUGCUGGUCAUCAAUGAAGAUUUGAACAUCUUGGCCAUGUUCUGUUAUAAUCUCCACCCGGCACAGCCAGAAGAGGACUGGCCACCCCUCAUAGCCUGGUUCCUCUCUAGGUUUAUUCCGAAGGUUGUGGCCUUUCUAGGGAGUUAUUCAGAGCCACCGUGCUUCUACAUCUGCAUUGCUUGCUGUUUGGGGGUUAAGGCUGGAUUUCUGUUCAGCACUGUGACAUCGGCUAUUGAAAAAAGGGCUUUAUAAAUACAUUUGACUGAUUGUAGCCUGUCAUGCCGGUGGAAAAUGCAGUAUACAGUGCUCUCAAUCAAAUGAAGGAAAAUCUGCUUUCAAUGCAGCGCGAGUCUAACAAUCUCAUUUUGGGGGUUGUCAUCUGAUUACCUUGACAACUUAUUGAGGGCCGCAGACAUAAACAGGAUAAUUUCAACUGCGGACGUGAGCUAUCUGUAAAGGGGAGGACGCAAUAUGAUUGUAGAGCAUCCAAUACACAAUAUUGCCAUGGCAACAACUGGAUCCUCCUUCAAUAGUUAAUAUGAAUUCCUUUGUGUAGCUCAUGCUCUCGUCAAAGGUGGGGUUAAAUGCCCACAAUGAAAUGGGCUCUUUAUCUGCUGAAAUGGAAGGAGACAAUGUCUGGAUGAGCUGUAUGGGAAAUUUCAUUCAUUCAGAUUCUAAGAACCACCCACCAAAACAAGACCAAGCAGCGGAAGAAGGAGAAGAGGAACGCUGAGUAUAUGGACUAUGCUGAGAGAAUGGACUUUGACAUGGACAAUCGCGAGCAGUGGAGUUGGGAACAGAUUCUGGCCGGAGAGGGCCCGUGGAAGAAG